This is a long non-coding RNA of Helianthus annuus (common sunflower), 2097 nucleotides long. RefSeq lists it as uncharacterized. The transcript is spliced from 3 exons. The record is from RefSeq and is a predicted model, not a curated record. Lineage: Eukaryota; Viridiplantae; Streptophyta; Magnoliopsida; Asterales; Asteraceae.
GGUAUCUCGCCUUCGCGAUCAGAUCCAUUCAUUCCGAAUGGAACUUGACAAGCCAUACCACUUAGCAUGUUCCAAAUUUAACCGAGUCUGGAUGAAAUAGAAUCUGGAUACAACCUAUUGUGUGGCCUUCUGAUUAGUGAUGUUACAGGAUCUGAAUAGAAACUGGGACACAAAUGUUACUCUCAUCAAGAGAACCAAGGAUCUGACCCGUAUGAGCCUUGCUGAACUGAUAUCCUUGAUCAAGUCUUAUGAAAUGGACGACAAGCAAAGAUUAUACAAUCACACCUCGAGCUACAACAAUGUUGCGGUUUCCACUAAUACCACAUUUCCCUCACCGUUUCUACCUCACCCACACCAUCCUAGUGUGACUAGCCUUAUCUCGCAUAUACUUGACGUGACUUGACGACCUAACCCGUACCUUCUUGUCAGCUUAUAGUGACAUCAGGUUUACUUGAACGAAUCCGAGAAGCUCAAGUUGAAGCAAUGAGAGAAGAGAAUUGGAAGAAAGAAAGAAUAGUUGGCCAAUUGAAAGACUUGGUGGAUAGUAACAAUGGGUUGAAGACUCGUUUUGGAAGAAUAUGGGUUCCAAACUCAUGUGGGGUUAAGACGCUUUUACUUGACGAAGCUCAUAAAUCCUGUUAUUCCAUUCAUCCGGGAGCGACUAAGAUGUAUAACGAUUUAAAACAGAAUUAUUGGUGGCCCGGAAUGAAGAGAGACGUAGUGAAAUAUGUGGAGAAAUGCUUAACGUGCUUGCAAGUCAAAGCAGAGCACCAAAAGCCAUACGGUAAACUUCAGCCGUUGGAUAUCCCGGUUUGGAGGUUUGGAAAUGGGAACAAAUUACAAUGGACCUAUUGAACAAACUGCCAAAGACGAUAAAAUUCUCCAGAUCCGUGAUAACUUGAUCAAGGCUAGGAGCAGACAUGUAACGCCCCAAAAAUUCGAAUGUUUAUAUUCACCAUAUGUUUCUAUAUGAUAUAUCAUGAAAUAAAUAACUAGGCUAUGUAACCUAGUUAAGUGUAUGGCAAAAACUAUUAAAGAAGGAAAGUUAUGCCAAUUAUGUUUUAGUAUCAAACAAGAGGGACUAAAGGUGAAGAUUUUGGGGUGGAGUUCUAAUUAAAAAGAAAACAAAAUGCAGAAUUUUGUGUGUCUGUAUGUGUGUGUUACGUGAUACGGAGAAAAAGAGGGAAGAACACCCUACUUGCUAAGCAUAAGGACGAAAAUCUUUUCAAUUGACUCAAGCAUGGAUGGCUAUCGGGUCAAGAGGAAGCAAGGAGGCAAGCAUGAACAUGGAUGCUAAAGGUUAGUAAGAUAUUCAUGAUGGACAAGUGAACGAGGGUCGAGUUGAAGAUCAUGCAUUGUACGGGAAAGCGGUCACGUUGUUUGUAACUAUAUGUUAACAUAGUUACAUUAAAUAAAUGAUCAAUGAUGUAUUUAUGUUAAAAGGGUUGACCUAAACGGUAUUCAAGUGUGUUAGAGCAGUUAAAAGAAAGAAAUUUUACGGUUCUUUUUCCGCUACGUCGUUUUGGGUCAAAGCGUGAUAAGGGUCUUACAAGACAAAGAGCUAUGCUGAUAAAAGGCGUAAGCCUCUGGAAUUUGAUGUUGGAGAUCAAGUGCUGCUCAAGGUAUCUCCCUGGAAGGGAGUGGUUCGCUUUGGUAAGAAGGGAAAGCUCGCCCCUCGCUAUGUGUGCCCUUUCACGAUACUCGAAAGGCGCGGCUGCGCAGUGGUCCCAAACAAGUUAUGAAAGAAAACAGUCUUCAACAGACAUGCACCGGAAAAAAGGAGAAACCAACAUUCAACUAACGCCCUUACGCGAGCCCUCGCAAGGAAACAGUUAGACUUGAAAAAUAGAAUCCUAAACGUCUCCGCGUGCCUAAAAUCAAGACUUGAAAGCAUCUUUUCUGUUGCAACAUAAUAGACACAUGGUAAGGGCAUAAUGGUUUACAGUUGUAGAUCUUUUAGAAGCCUUAAAUGCUCAUCGUGCAUAACCAUUCAGUUAUAACUAACUGUGAAGUGGCAUAAUCUGGAACGCUCAUCUAAUCAUGAUGAUGGCACUCGUUUGAAGGUUAAUCUAUAAGAAACCCACUUUCCACGUGGCA